AUGACAAUUACUGGUGUUUGCUCUGCCAAUCAGGAAGUGGCAGAAGAUUCUGCAGCUGUGGCAGCCAUCAGGUACAUGGAAAACGCUACAAACACUGUCGUGAUGGAUCUAAACUAUGCAUGGUUUAAAAGGAUGCAGCAAGACAAUGGUUAUUUGAGACUUAGACUUGACGAGGCGUUUGAGGCGAUAGGCAAACUUUCUAAAGGCAGCUUAAUUGCGCUCAGAUACAUGUGUGCCUUCUCGGAUCAGCUUCACUACGUUAUCGAACAUGGCUUUCCACCUACUCGUGUUAUAAUAGACAAAACCACCAAUUAA
RNAcentral lists this ribosomal RNA (315 nucleotides) under Triticum aestivum (bread wheat). RNAcentral describes it as "partial small subunit ribosomal RNA". Lineage: Eukaryota; Viridiplantae; Streptophyta; Magnoliopsida; Poales; Poaceae. The record is from RNAcentral.